AAGUUUUUCGGAUGGAAGCUUGUAAACUUAGUGGCGGACGGGUGAGUAACACGUGAGCAACCUGCCUAUCAGAGGGGAACAACAGUUGGAAACGACUGCUAAUACCGCAUGACGCAUAGGGGUCGCAUGAUCUUUAUGCCAAAGAUUUAUCGCUUCAAGAUGGCCUCGCGUCUGAUUAGCUAGUUGGCGGGGUAACGGCCCACCAAGGCGACGAUCAGUAGCCGGACUGAGAGGUUGAACGGCCACAUUGGGACUGAGAUACGGCCCAGACUCC
Molecule: ribosomal RNA, 274 nt
Filed under: uncultured Oscillospiraceae bacterium
Lineage: Bacteria; Bacillati; Bacillota; Clostridia; Eubacteriales; Oscillospiraceae
Description: partial 16S ribosomal RNA
Rfam family: Bacterial small subunit ribosomal RNA
Source: RNAcentral